This 468-nucleotide ribosomal RNA is filed under the name uncultured bacterium. RNAcentral's name for it is "partial 16S ribosomal RNA". It matches the Rfam family "Bacterial small subunit ribosomal RNA", at positions 28 to 507 of the family's 1533-position model. The record is from RNAcentral.
GACGAACGCUGGCGGCGUGCUUAACACAUGCAAGUCGAACGCUAAGGCCCGGCUUUGGUGGUCUGCUCGAGUGGCGAACGGGUGAGUAACGCGUGAGUAACCUGCCCGUGACUGGGGGAUAACUUCUGGAAACGGUGGCUAAUACCGGAUAACAGCUCCUGCUGCAUGGUGGGGGUUGGAAAGUUUCGGCGGUUGGGGAUGGACUCGCGGCUUCGCAGCUUUAUGGUGGGGUAGUGGCUUACCACGGCGUUGACGGGUAGCCGGCCUGGGAGGGUGACCGGCCACAUUGGGACUGAGAAACGACCAAGACUCAUACGGGAGGAAGGAGUGGGAGUUAGUGCACACUGCGCGGCAGGCUGAAGCAGGGACGCCGGGUGCGGGAUGACGGCCUUCGGGUUGUAAACAGCUUUAGACUGUAAAGAAGCGUGAGUGACGGUAAUGGAUCAAGAAGCAACGGCUAACUACGUG